UACUCCUACGGGAGGCAGCAGUAGGGAAUUUUCCACAAUGGACGAAAGUCUGAUGGAGCAACGCCGCGUGAACGAUGAAGGUCUUCGGAUUGUAAAGUUCUGUUGUCAGGGACGAACACGUACCGUUCGAAUAGGGCGGUACCUUGACGGUACCUGACGAGAAAGCCACGGCUAACUACGUGCCAGCAGCCGCGGUAAUAC
This 201-nucleotide ribosomal RNA is filed under the name uncultured Brevibacillus sp. RNAcentral describes it as "partial 16S ribosomal RNA". It matches the Rfam family "Bacterial small subunit ribosomal RNA", at positions 334 to 526 of the family's 1533-position model. The record is from RNAcentral. Lineage: Bacteria; Bacillati; Bacillota; Bacilli; Caryophanales; Paenibacillaceae.